Non-coding RNA from Clostridium autoethanogenum DSM 10061, 103 nucleotides. NCBI's taxonomy places the organism in Bacteria, Bacillati, Bacillota, Clostridia, Eubacteriales, Clostridiaceae. The record is from Rfam.
GAGUUGGUAUUUCAUAAGGAAACCAAACUCUAAUCUAUGUUUAAUCCUUUAUCAAUUUAUAGAAGUCUUCCGACUUAUAUCCAUAAAGGAAUAAGAAUGGAGG